RNAcentral lists this ribosomal RNA (351 nucleotides) under Vespa orientalis (oriental hornet). Its description in RNAcentral is "partial 12S ribosomal RNA". Lineage: Eukaryota; Metazoa; Arthropoda; Insecta; Hymenoptera; Vespidae. RNAcentral also lists the same sequence under 1 other name. The record is from RNAcentral.
AAUAAAUGUAUUAAUAUUAUAGAAGAGAUUAAAUGAUAAAUCAUUAAAUUUAAAAGAUUUGGCAGUAUUUAAUAUUUAGAGGAACCUGUGUAGUAAUUGAUAAUCCACGAUAAGAUAAACUUAAUUAUAAAAUUUAUGUAUUGCUGUUUUAAAUAUCUAAUUAAGUUAGAUUGUGAAAAGUACAAUAGAUUAUGUGAGAGUAGAAUAAUUCAAGUCAAAAUAUAGUAUAGUUAAGAUAGCAUGGGUUACAAUUAAUUUGAUUAUUAGAUUAUAAAAUUUAAUUUUUAUAUGAAAAUGGAUUUAAAAGUAAAUUUGAUAAAUUAAUUAAGUUGAAUGUUAAAUUAAAUAUGU